Non-coding RNA from Cinara cedri, 231 nucleotides. The record is from the annotation of a GenBank genome assembly. NCBI's taxonomy places the organism in Eukaryota, Metazoa, Arthropoda, Insecta, Hemiptera, Aphididae.
CGGGUAAGAAUAUGGGCGAUUGAAGUGAAGCCAAAGGAGAACCAUAGAAAAAGUAUAAUAUAGCUGAUUAUUUGAGAGAAAUUCAGAGGGCAUGUGAAGUAGAUGAGAAAAAUGGCGAUAAAUAAGGGAAACAUAGAUAGCGAGCUAAGUGCAUAAAGCUGAGGUCUCCAGAUUAGGAAUAAAAUAAUAAAGAUGAAAUCCGAGAAGAAGAAUAAAUAAAGGAAUUUCUAC